CGGAGGCAGCAGUGAGGAAUCUUAGACAAUGGGGGAAACCCUGAUCUAGCCAUGCCGCGUGAUCGAUGAAGGCCUUAGGGUUGUAAAGACCUUUCAGAUGGGAAGAUAAUGACUGUACCAUCAGAAGAAGCCCCGGCUAACUCCGUGCCAGCAGCCGCGGUAAUACGGAGGGGGCUAGCGUUAUUCGGAAUUACUGGGCGUAAAGCGCACGUAGGCGGACUGGAAAGUUGGAGGUGAAAUCCCAGGGCUCAACCUUGGAACUGCCUUCAAAACUCCCAGUCUUGAGAUCGAGAGAGGUGAGUGGAAUUCCGAGUGUAGAGGUGAAAUUCGUAGAUAUUCGGAGGAACACCAGUGGCGAAGGCGGCUCACUGGCUCGAUACUGACGCUGAGGUGCGAAAGCGUGGGGAGCAAACAGGAUUAGAUACCCGGGUAGUCCG
This 437-nucleotide ribosomal RNA is filed under the name uncultured bacterium. Its description in RNAcentral is "bacterial SSU rRNA". It matches the Rfam family "Bacterial small subunit ribosomal RNA", at positions 343 to 797 of the family's 1533-position model. The record is from RNAcentral.